GACGAACGCUGGCGGCGUGCUUAACACAUGCCAGUCGAACGGAAAGGCCCUGCUUUUGUGGGGUGCUCGAGUGGCGAACGGGUGAGUAACACGUGAGUAACCUGCCCUUGACUUUGGGAUAACUUCGGGAAACUGGGGCUAAUACCGGAUAGGAGCUCCUGCUGCAUGGUGGGGGUUGGAAAGUUUCGGCGGUUGGGGAUGGACUCGCGGCUUAUCAGCUUGUUGGUGGGGUAGUGGCUUACCAAGGCUUUGACGGGUAGCCGGCCUGAGAGGGUGACCGGCCACAUUGGGACUGAGAUACGGCCCAGACUCCUACGGGAGGCAGCAGUGGGGAAUGUUGCACAAUGGGCGGAAGCCUGAUGCAGCAACGCCGCGUGCGGGAUGACGGCCUUCGGGUUGUAAACCGCUUUCGCCUGUGACGAAGCGUGAGUGACGGUAAUGGGUAAAGAAGCACCGGCUAACUACGUG
This 468-nucleotide ribosomal RNA is filed under the name uncultured bacterium. RNAcentral describes it as "partial 16S ribosomal RNA". It matches the Rfam family "Bacterial small subunit ribosomal RNA", at positions 28 to 507 of the family's 1533-position model. The record is from RNAcentral.